GACGAACGCUGGCGGCGUGCCUAAUACAUGCAAGUAGAACGCUGAAGCGAGGAGCUUGCUCUUCUUGGAUGAGUUGCGAACGGGUGAGUAACGCGUAGGUAACCUGCCUUGUAGCGGGGGAUAACUAUUGGAAACGAUAGCUAAUACCGCAUAACAAUGGAUGACCCAUGUCAUUUAUUUGAAAGGGGCCAAUGCUCCACUACAAGAUGGACCUGCGUUGUAUUAGCUAGUAGGUGAGGUAACGGCUCACCUAGGCGACGAUACAUAGCCGACCUGAGAGGGUGGACGGCCACACUGGGACUGGGACACGGCCCAGGCUCCUACGGGAGGGAGCAGGAGGGGAUCUUCGGCAAUGGGGGGAAAGCUGGCCGAGCAACGCCGGGGGGGUGGAGGAGGGUUUCGGAUCGUAAAGCUCUGUUGUAAGUGAAGAAAGAGUGUGAGAGUGGAAAGUUCACACUGUGACGGUAGCUAACCAGAAAGCGACGGCUAACUACGUG
Molecule: ribosomal RNA, 497 nt
Filed under: uncultured bacterium
Lineage: Bacteria
Description: partial 16S ribosomal RNA
Rfam family: Bacterial small subunit ribosomal RNA
Source: RNAcentral